Molecule: ribosomal RNA, 428 nt
Filed under: Verrucomicrobiota bacterium
Lineage: Bacteria; Pseudomonadati; Verrucomicrobiota
Description: Verrucomicrobia bacterium partial 16S ribosomal RNA
Rfam family: Bacterial small subunit ribosomal RNA
Source: RNAcentral
UAGGGAAUCUUCCGCAAUGGACGAAAGUCUGACGGAGCAACGCCGCGUGAGUGAAGAAGGAUUUCGGUUCGUAAAACUCUGUUGUUAGGGAAGAAAAAAUGUAUAGUAACUAUAUACAAAAGAGACGGUACCUAACCAGAAAGCCACGGCUAACUACGUGCCAGCAGCCGCGGUAAUACGUAGGUGGCAAGCGUUGUCCGGAAUUAUUGGGCGUAAAGCGCGCGCAGGUGGUUUAGAAAGUCUGAUGUGAAAGCCAACGGCUCAACCGUGGAGGGUCAUUGGAAACUAAUAAACGUGAGUGCAGGAGAGAAAAGUGGAAUUCCUAGUGUAGCGGUGAAAUGCGUAGAGAUUAGGAGGAACACCGGUGGAGAAAGCGGCUUUUGGCCUGCAACUGACACUGAGGCGCGAAAGCGUGGAGAGCAAACAGG